CCUACGGGGGGCAGCAGUGAGGAAUAUUGGUCAAUGGACGAGAGUCUGAACCAGCCAAGUAGCGUGAAGGAUGACUGCCCUAUGGGUUGUAAACUUCUUUUAUAUGGGAAUAAAAUGUUCCACGUGUGGGAUUUUGUAUGUACCAUAUGAAUAAGGAUCGGCUAACUCCGUGCCAGCAGCCGCGGUAAUACGGAGGAUCCGAGCGUUAUCCGGAUUUAUUGGGUUUAAAGGGAGCGUAGGUGGAUUGUUAAGUCAGUUGUGAAAGUUUGCGACUCAACCGUAAAAUUGCAGUUGAAACUGGCAGUCUUGAGUACAGUAGAGGUGGGCGGAAUUCGUGGUGUAGCGGUGAAAUGCUUAGAUAUCACGAAGAACUCCGAUUGCGAAGGCAGUUCACUGGACUGCAACUGACACUGAGGCUCGAAAGUGUGGGUAUCAAACAGGAUUAGAUACCCUUGUAGUC
Molecule: ribosomal RNA, 460 nt
Filed under: uncultured bacterium
Lineage: Bacteria
Description: partial 16S ribosomal RNA
Rfam family: Bacterial small subunit ribosomal RNA
Source: RNAcentral